This 300-nucleotide ribosomal RNA is filed under the name uncultured Corynebacterium sp. Its description in RNAcentral is "bacterial SSU rRNA". It matches the Rfam family "Bacterial small subunit ribosomal RNA", at positions 497 to 795 of the family's 1533-position model. The record is from RNAcentral. Lineage: Bacteria; Bacillati; Actinomycetota; Actinomycetes; Mycobacteriales; Corynebacteriaceae.
CUAACUACGUGCCAGCAGCCGCGGUAAUACGUAGGGUGCGAGCGUUGUCCGGAAUUACUGGGCGUAAAGAGCUCGUAGGUGGUUUGUCGCGUCGUCUGUGAAAUUCCGGGGCUUAACUCCGGGCGUGCAGGCGAUACGGGCAUAACUUGAGUACUGUAGGGGAGACUGGAAUUCCUGGUGUAGCGGUGAAAUGCGCAGAUAUCAGGAGGAACACCGGUGGCGAAGGCGGGUCUCUGGGCAGUAACUGACGCUGAGGAGCGAAAGCAUGGGUAGCGAACAGGAUUAGAUACCCCUGUAGUC